Molecule: non-coding RNA, 239 nt
Organism: Paramuricea clavata
Lineage: Eukaryota; Metazoa; Cnidaria; Anthozoa; Malacalcyonacea; Plexauridae
Source: the annotation of a GenBank genome assembly
GUGAUAGUGAUGGUUAUUAAUGCAGUGUUGUGAUGGUGAUAGUUAUUAUUGCAGUGUUUUGAUGGUAAUAGUGAUGGUAGUUAUUAAUGCAGUGUUGUGAUGGUGAUAGUGAUGGUUAUUAAUGCAGUGUUGUGAUGGUGAUAGUGAUGGUUAUUAUUGCAGUGUUGUGAUGGUGAUAGUGAUGGUUAUUAAUGCAGUGUUUUGAUGGUGAUAGUGAUGGUUAUUAUUGCAGUGUUUUG